GCUUACGGCCAUACCACCUUAGGCACGCCCGAUCUCGUCUGAUCUCGGAAGCUAAGCUGGGUCGGGGCUGGUUAGCAGUUGGAUGGGUGACCGCCUGAGAAUACCAGGUGCUGUAAGUA
Ribosomal RNA from Gadus morhua (Atlantic cod), 119 nucleotides. Lineage: Eukaryota; Metazoa; Chordata; Actinopteri; Gadiformes; Gadidae. The record is from Ensembl.